GCCGGGCGUGGUGGCGCACGUCUGUAAUCCCAGCUACUUGGGAGGCUGAGGCAGGAGAAUCGCUUGAACCCAGGAGGCGGAGGUUGCAGUGAGCUGAGAUUGCACCACUGCACUCCAGCCUGGGCAACAGAGCGAGACUCCGUCUCAA
Unclassified non-coding RNA from Macaca fascicularis (crab-eating macaque), 148 nucleotides. It matches the Rfam family "Metazoan signal recognition particle RNA". From Rfam's summary of the family: The signal recognition particle (SRP) is a universally conserved ribonucleoprotein. NCBI's taxonomy places the organism in Eukaryota, Metazoa, Chordata, Mammalia, Primates, Cercopithecidae. The record is from Ensembl.